CAGUGAUCAGGACACAUGAUAAUUAUGACUUAAAACAAAGCAGUAGCAGUGGAGUUGCUGAAAAAUAUUUUCCUCUGGAAAUAUUUUGAAUAGGAACUGGCAGGAGAAACUGACACAUAGAGUGAAGGGGACUAGCAAACAGAAGUCCAGGAGGACACCAAGUUAUUACUAAAGGCAGAAUUGCCAUGGUCUGAGAGAGGAAGAAAAUAUAAGCAUAGUAAAUUUGAAGAAGACUGGGAAUCCACUUCUGGACAUGAACCAGAUCCAAAAAGGAUGAAGUAAGUGAAAAGAGCCUAUUUUGGAGAGAAAUAAACACCAGUAUAGAAGAGCAGAGAACAACAGGAAGUGAAGGCAGCCCAUGAGGCAGACAAUCAAGCCAGCUGCACUGUGGGCAGAUGGGUUCAGCCUCUUGGAAAUAUUGAGACAGUUGAUCUCUUGCAAAAUACAAAAGAAUCAGAACAUUUAUACACCAAAUAAUGCCAGUCAUUUGUUCAACUCUGCUGAUAAAAACAAAGAGUUAGAUUACCAUGGCUUCAGAGGAAAUCCUUGGCAAAAAGGUGAAGGUAGGAGGUAGUAGGCCAGAGGGUAAGGGGUCCAUGUCACCAAGCAUAUUGUCUCUGUAUAUUCCAAUCACUUUAGUAUUAUUUCUAACCUACGUUUAGCCAAAAACACACUAUGCAACGAAAUUGUAAAAAAAAAAUAAUAAUAAUAAUAGAAAAAUUAGUUUUCUACUUUGCAUUUCACUCCUUGAUGCAUUGCCUCAAGUUCUUUGGCCAAAUUUUACAUUUUCUGCAUGUUUGUAACUCUUUAGUCCAAAUCCCUGGAGCCAGAUAUUUUUGAAACACAGAAUAUUUUUCAUACUAUGUUAUGAGGUUUGAGAACGCACUUUGUAAUCAAAUUUAAUAUUUCUGCAGAAGUAUUUACACUAAGUAAUAUUUAUUAUUGCAUUAGUAAAGAAUAUAGAUAGUUUCACCUCCAUCCAGGUCAAGACUGUGAUUCAUCUAGAUGCAACCAGAAUGUACACAUGGAAAAGGCCGGCAUCUGCAAUGUGCAUUUUCUUGGAGGAAAAGAAAUGGCAGUUGGCAAGGAAUAUCUAGAUAACCAAGAAGCAAUGGAAGUUUCAGAAAAUAAGAACAUGGCCUCCUACAUAGAGUCAAGUGUUCUAUCUUGUUCUGAUGAGUUAAGCAGGGUAUCUGGGUAUCUCCAAAGGGAUAUCCAGAUCUGGUUUCCUUUUGAGGUCAAGUGAUGAAAAGUUUCCAGAUUUUUAAAGUAUGGAAUUGUGAAUAAAUUGAUAACUAUACAGUG
This is a non-coding RNA of Ictidomys tridecemlineatus (thirteen-lined ground squirrel), 1305 nucleotides long. The record is from RefSeq and is a predicted model, not a curated record. Lineage: Eukaryota; Metazoa; Chordata; Mammalia; Rodentia; Sciuridae.